GUUAUUAGCCUAUUGUUACAGAUGGAUUCCACUUGUUGCAUUGCUAAAAUGUAUCAGUCCUACGAAGAGACAAAUUUAUGAAAAAUUGUGGAAGAUGUUCCACGUGAUGUGCCUAUCAAUUUCUUGAAAGUUGAAAGAAGCUUGCUCCGUCGGAGAAUUCAUGCUACAGAGGAACUGGCUGUUGAAGAGGGAGGUGGGGAUGAAAUGCACGUUCUUGAGGAUGUCGGUCGUUAGGUGCAUGCUGAUAACCCACAUGGUCUCUUUCGGAUCUUGUCAUCCUCUUCCAAAGGGAUUAGAACUUGAG
Molecule: long non-coding RNA, 304 nt
Organism: Cucumis melo (muskmelon)
Lineage: Eukaryota; Viridiplantae; Streptophyta; Magnoliopsida; Cucurbitales; Cucurbitaceae
Exons: 3
Source: RefSeq, a predicted model, not a curated record